This 421-nucleotide ribosomal RNA is filed under the name uncultured bacterium. RNAcentral describes it as "bacterial SSU rRNA". It matches the Rfam family "Bacterial small subunit ribosomal RNA", at positions 355 to 774 of the family's 1533-position model. The record is from RNAcentral.
UAAGGAAUAUUGGUCAAUGGACGCAAGUCUGAACCAGCCAUGCCGCGUGAAGGAUGAAGGUCCUCUGGAUUGUAAACUUCUUUUAUCUGGGACGAAAACGGGAUUUUUAUCUCAAUUGACGGUACCAGAGGAAUAAGCACCGGCUAACUCCGUGCCAGCAGCCGCGGUAAUACGGAGGGUGCGAGCGUUAUCCGGAUUUACUGGGUUUAAAGGGUGCGUAGGUGGGCUUAUAAGUCAGUGGUGAAAUCUCCGAGCUUAACUUGGAAACUGCCGUUGAUACUAUAGGUCUUGAAUUAUCUGGAGGUCAGCGGAAUAUGUCAUGUAGCGGUGAAAUGCUUAGAUAUGACAUAGAACUCCAAUUGCGAAGGCAGCUUACUACAUAUAAAUUGACGCUGAGGCACGAAAGCGUGGGGAUCAAACA